UAGGGAAUCUUCCGCAAUGGACGAAAGUCUGACGGAGCAACGCCGCGUGAGUGAUGAAGGUUUUCGGAUCGUAAAACUCUGUUGUCAGGGAAGAACAAGUACGAUAGUAACUGAUCGUACCUUGACGGUACCUGACCAGAAAUCCACGGCUAACUACGUGCCAGCAGCCGCGGUACUACGUAGGUGGCAAGCGUUGUCCGGAAUUAUUGGGCGUAAAGCGCUCGCAGGCGGUUCUUUAAGUCUGAUGUGAGAUCUUGCGGCUCAACCGCAAACGGGGAUUGGAAACUGGAAGACUUGAGUGCAGAAGAGGAGAGUGGAAUUCCACGUGUAGCGGUGAAAGGCGUAGAGAUGUGGAGGAACACCAGUGGCGAAGGCGGCUUUCAGAACUGAAACUGACGCUGAGGAGCGAAAGCGUGGGGAGCGAACAGG
Molecule: ribosomal RNA, 429 nt
Filed under: Bacillota bacterium
Lineage: Bacteria; Bacillati; Bacillota
Description: Firmicutes bacterium partial 16S ribosomal RNA
Rfam family: Bacterial small subunit ribosomal RNA
Source: RNAcentral